Molecule: non-coding RNA, 25 nt
Filed under: Mus musculus (house mouse)
Lineage: Eukaryota; Metazoa; Chordata; Mammalia; Rodentia; Muridae
Source: RNAcentral
UGGGUGUUGGCUAAAUGUUUUCGGA